GCCCAGAUGGCGGAACUGGUAGACGCGCUAGGUUCAGGUCCUAGUCUGUGAAUAACAGGUGGGGGUUCAAGUCCUCUUCUGGGCACCA
RNAcentral lists this transfer RNA (88 nucleotides) under Holosporales bacterium. RNAcentral's name for it is "tRNA-Leu". It matches the Rfam family "tRNA". From Rfam's summary of the family: Transfer RNA (tRNA) molecules are approximately 80 nucleotides in length. Their secondary structure includes four short double-helical elements and three loops (D, anti-codon, and T loops). Lineage: Bacteria; Pseudomonadati; Pseudomonadota; Alphaproteobacteria; Holosporales. The record is from RNAcentral.